UACGUAGGGGGCAAGCGUUAUCCGGAUUUAUUGGGCGUAAAGAGCUCGUAGGCGGCCGUUCGCGUCGGAUGUGAAAGCUCAGGGCUCAACUCUGAGACGCCAUUCGAUACGGGACGGCUAGAGGUAGGUAGGGGAAAGUGGAAUUCCUGGUGUAGCGGUGAAAUGCGCAGAUAUCAGGAGGAACACCGGUGGCGAAGGCGGCUUUCUGGGCCUUACCUGACGCUGAGGAGCGAAAGCUGGGGGAGCGAACGGG
Molecule: ribosomal RNA, 253 nt
Filed under: uncultured bacterium
Lineage: Bacteria
Description: partial 16S ribosomal RNA
Rfam family: Bacterial small subunit ribosomal RNA
Source: RNAcentral